This 8249-nucleotide long non-coding RNA is filed under the name Capsicum annuum. RNAcentral's name for it is "long non-coding RNA (CANN_LNC012023)". The record is from RNAcentral. Lineage: Eukaryota; Viridiplantae; Streptophyta; Magnoliopsida; Solanales; Solanaceae.
AAAAAUCCAAACCAAUAUUAGAGCCAUGUACCAAGAUCAUGCAUAGUACAUCAUGGUUCUUUUAUAGUUUUAUGAGUAGGUUAGAUGUAUAUUAAGGCUUCAAAUAACUCCCAUCUAUCAGACGAAUCAAAACAUUCCUCACCGAUCGAAUUCUUGAGAAAGAUAUUGCCAUAGUCAGAUUCAAAUGAGCAUAUAUCUUAUUAUACUUGGAAUUUUUGAGCUCAUGACCUAUAAACAGAUAAAUAAUUGAAUUAUCUUUUCAACGAUACCAAUUUUUCCUAAAUCCAAUAUCGGAGCAAAGAGUUAUUCCUAUUUUACUCCAGUAUGUCAGGCUGGAAACUGUGUGACAACAUUCGUGGUAGCUUACCACAUUUGUGACUCCCUAACAUGAAGGUCGUCAGCCUUAGGUAGAAUCCAGCUCCUGUGUGACGACAUUCAUGGUAGCUUACCAUAUUUGUGACGCCCUACCACAAAGGUCGUCAGCCUUAGGCANNNNNNNNNNNNNNNNNNNNNNNNNNNNNNNNNNNNNNNNNNNNNNNNNNNNNNNNNNNNNNNNNNNNNNNNNNNNNNNNNNNNNNNNNNNNNNNNNNNNNNNNNNNNNNNNNNNNNNNNNNNNNNNNNNNNNNNNNNNNNNNNNNNNNNNNNNNNNNNNNNNNNNNNNNNNNNNNNNNNNNNNNNNNNNNNNNNNNNNNNNNNNNNNNNNNNNNNNNNNNNNNNNNNNNNNNNNNNNNNNNNNNNNNNNNNNNNNNNNNNNNNNNNNNNNNNNNNNNNNNNNNNNNNNNNNNNNNNNNNNNNNNNNNNNNNNNNNNNNNNNNNNNNAUCUCCUCAGGAACAAGAGCAUUCUUUCUCAAAGGGGUUAAACCCUAGUCAACAAAAAUCAAGGGCAGGCCUAAGGAUUUCUUCAGGAACCUUCAGAAACAUUAGAUCUCUUUCAAGAUUAAGCUUUAAGGUAUGCAUAGUGUUCAUCUAUGGAUUCAAUUCGUUCAUAGAGUUCAAGAACCAUGCUUUUAAAUGUUAUUUUGUAAACUUUUGUGGUGAUAUAGGCAUGUACACGUUGAUGAUUGUUGUUUAAGUUUCAAGAUGAUAUUUAAGGAUGUUUUUCAUGAAAUAUAUGUGAUUGUUGGUUGAAAAUCAUGAACUUUGGGUGGGUUGAACUAAUGCAAGUAUGAAAUCCACCUAUGCCUUAAAGAAUACAUAUAAGAUGUUUGAUAAAAUGCCUAGGAUGUUAGAAGUUCAUAUUUACAUGAUUUUAUGAUAUCUAAAUACAAGUCCAUCUUAGCGAUACGCUUCAAUAUAAAUGCCCAUGUUAUUUAUGUAUUCUUAUGGUGAUGGCAUGAAGUAUCAAUUUAACUAUGUGCCUUGAGCUAGUGUCAUGUUUUCCAAAUUCUCUCAGUCAAGCCAUGAUUCAUAGAACUCAGUCAGUCAUGUGACUCAGGAAAACUUAGUAAACUCAGUAAUCUUACAAAUCUCAGAAAUUCAGUAAUCUCAGCAGUAUUUCGUCAGUCGAUGGAACUCAAUAAACGUAGUCCAGUUUAGUUCAGUUAAUCAUGUUUAGUGUCUAUUCAGAUGGGAGUAGGAUACAGCACCGAGUGAGCCCAAGUAUGGGAACUCACCUGUUAUUAGAGGGUGUGAUUCUUAGAAGCAAUCCUUGCGCUGCAGAACUACGUAGCCAGCUUAGGUUGAGACAUCAAACCUGCUAGUUGAAGGUAGAUGAGGUGGCUUAACCUGUUAUAAGAGGGUCCCACCAUUAUUCUUAGAGUACCUAUUAGAUGAGGGAUCACUCACAGCUUGUCCUUACCAGUGGGGUGGUAUUGACACCCUUUCAAUUGGGGUUACAAAUUGGACCCCAACUCAGCUAUAAUAGCUUAUUAAGGGCAUGUCGGUUAAAUAACUACUUCCCACAGUUAUAGUCUCAAUCUUAGUCUCAGUAAUAGAACUCAGAUAGUUCUUAAGAAUUUAAGAAAGGGUAGAUGAGGUGGCUUAACCUGUUAUAUAAGGGUUUCCACCGUUCUCACUAGAGUUACCUGUUAUAUGAGGGUUGCUCACAUGUUAUCCUUACCAGUGGUGCUGACACCCUUCCAGUCAGGGCAGAGAUUGGACCCCAUCUUAGCCAUAAUGGCACAUAUGCGGCAUGUCGAUUAAACAACUACCUCCCAUAAUUUCAGUAUCAGUAUCAGUAAAAAAACUCAGACAGUUCUUCAGAUAUUAGUAUACCAGGACUAUUAGAUACGGUCAAAUUCAGUUAUAGCAUGGAACUCAAAGAGUUCAACCAGAUUCAGGGCUGUCAGAUACAUUCAUCCAUGUUAUCAGAACUACGAUUCCAGCCAUGUAUUAGCGUACAUAUUUAGCCAUCACGUACUCAUGAUCUUAGUUACUAUGUAUGUAUAUUUGUACUCUUACGUUCAUAUCAGUCAGUCAGUGGUAUUAUUUAUGCACGUAAACCCUUGCAUUAGCCUACCUCACCCAUAUACUCAGUACUCCAGUUGUACUGACGCAUUUGCGCUAUGGUGCUUUCUUUUCAUGUUACACCAUAGGUUCAGAGGCACGAGUCCCAGACCAGCAGUAGCAGUCGCAUUUAGCAUACAGAGUUGCAGUGAGUCCUUUCCAUUCGAGGACGAUAUUAUUUGAUUUAUUCCUUUAUUUCUUCAGUUCAGUUUUACGGAGUUAGUUGGAGACAUGUUCCUUCAACUCUUUAUUUCAGAUAGUACUUAGAGGCUUUCGGAUUUACGCUCAGAUUUAGCUUUCAGAUUUAGUUUUUAGUUGUUUUGGGUAUUUUUCGCCCAUAUGGAUGUUAUAUUAUUUCAGUUGAACCUUAUGGCCUAUUGUGCAUGUUUUCCAUAUUAUUAUGUUAUGAAUUGCAGUCUACAGGUACAGAUAUUAGCCAUGGGUUAGCUUGUGGUCCCUCGGGGUCAUAAGCAUUGUGUAGCAUUCUGGUUCAGAUAAUUAGGGCGUUACAAACUUGGUAUCAGAGCCUAAGGUUCAAUAGAGUCCUAGGAAGUCUGAAAGCCGCAUCUAGUAGAGUCUUGUACAUGGGUGUGUUGCGCACCAUAUUUAUGUACAGGAGGCUAUGAGAUGUUUUAGGAACAGUUCCCUUUCUUUAGUAUUCAUGUCGUGCUAGUAAGCAUAAUUUUAAGUCAGUCUCUCAGUCUAAUCCGCUUUUCUCUUAUUUCAGAAAUAUACCUCUAAAGAGAAGAAAUUAGUCAGCUCCUCAGCCCGAAGAUCCUUUGGGCGAACAUGUUUCUCAUGCGGAGUUCAAGACCUCAUUUACCACUCUUGCUCAGUCUGUUUCUGCCCAGAAUGAAUGACCAACAGUCGUUCCGGCCAACCCAGUGGCCAAUUCAGCAGCAGCUAGGAUUCAGGACUUCACCCGAAUUAACCCUCCAUCUUUCUUUGGGUCUAAGCCAGACGAGGAUCCUCAAGAAUUCAUUGACCAAGUCCAGAAGGUCAUUGAUAUCAUGGGAGUCACUUCUUCUCAGAGUACCGAGUUAGCCACAUACCAAUUGCAGGAUGUCACUCACACUUAGUACAAGCAGUGGUUAGCAGAAAGGUUAGAGGAUGCAGGUCUAGUUAAGUGGAAUAAUUUGUCACCACUUUCUUAGAUAGAUUCUUUCCCCAAGAGCUGAGAGAGGCCAAAGUUCUUGAGUUCAUCAAUCUCAGGCAGGGAAAUAUGAAAGUUAAAGAGUAUUCUCUUAUAUUUACUCAGCUAGCCAGAUAUGCCCCUCAUGUGGUUGUGGACAACAGGGAUAAGAUGAGCAAGUUCGUGUCAGGGGUGAAUGAUAGGGUGGUAAAUGAGUGUAGGUCUGCGAUGCUGAACAAUGAUAUGACUUUACCUAGGCUCAUGACCCAUGCUCAACAGAUAAAGGAGCAGAAGGUUAAGACUAGGAAGAGGCAGAACAAGAGAGCAAGAGCAGACAGUUUCAGUUUUUCUCAGCCCAAAUCAGAGGGAGGAAAUCAUUUGCAGUUUCAUCCUAAGUCAGCAGUUCUAGCCCCUUUCUCUGUUAGUGGCCCAGUGCCGACGUUCAGGGACGGCAACAGAGACAGGGCACCAGGCUCUAAAUCUCAGAGCAGUGUUAGCAGUGCCUGCACUUAUUCUUAUUGUCAGACCUGCGGUAAGCACCAUCAGGGUACGUGUAGAGCGGGUCAAGGCAUUUGUUUUGGUUGUGGUAAGCCAAGCCACAGAGUUAGGGACUGUCCUAAGCCAGGUCCUCAGGAUCAGUAGAAUCGUUCCACAGCUUAGUCUGGUUGCCCGAACCUGCAGGGUGCCACUUCCAGUGCUACUAGUGGGAAACGCCCAAAUAGACUCUAUGCUCUUCAGACCCGACAGGAUCAGAAAAAUUCUUUCGAUGUCGUUAUUGGUACGUUAUAGAUUUUCCAUGUUCAUAUUUAUGCUUUGCUAGACCCAGGUACAUCCUUGUCUUUUGUCACUCCAUACAUAGCAGGCGAUUUCAGAAUCAGUCUCGAAAUUUUAGCAGAGCCCUUUUUAGUCUCUAACCCAGUCGGUAAAACCAUCAUAGCUCGACGGGUAUACAGGAACUACCCAUUUAUGAUAUUUCAGAAAUCCACAUCAGCAAAUUUAGUCGAGUUAGAGAUGACUGAUUUUGAUUUUAUUCUCGGCAUGGAUUGACUUCUUUCCUGCUAUGUUAUAGUCAACUACAGAAAUAGGAUAGUUCAGUUUUAGUGCCCGAAUGAGCCCGUCCUAGAGUGGAAGGGUAGCACGUCGUCUUUUAGGGGUCAGCUUAUUUCCUAACUUUGGGUAAGGAAAAUAAUUUCUAAGGAGGGGGUGUAUCAUCUCGUGCAUGUUAAUGAUUCCAGUUCUGAAUCUCCCAGUCUCGAAUCAGUCCAGUGGUUAAUAAAUAUUUAGACAUCUUUCCCAAAGAUCUUCCAAGCAUUUCUCCCGAAAGGGAAAUAAACUUUGGCAUAGACCUUCUCCCAGUACUCAGCCUAUUUCUAUUUCGCCAUACAGAAUGGCACCAGCAGAACUCAAAGAACUGAAAGAUCAGUUGAAGGAUCUCUUAGACAAGGGAUUCAUCAGGCCCAGUGUAUCCCCAUGGGGUACGCCAGUCUUAUUCGUGCUCAAGAAAGACGGUUCUCUCAGAAUGUGUAUUGAUUACCGUCAUCUCAACAAAGUCAUGGUCAAGAAUAGGUAUCUGCUGCCUAGGAUGGACGACUUACUUGACCAACUUCAGGGUGCCAAUUAUUUCUCCAAGAUAGACCUCAGAUCAGGCUAUUAUCAGCUCGAAGUUAGAGAAUGUGACAUUCCGAAGAUAGCUUUUCGUACUCUGUAUGGUCACUUUAAAUUUCUAGUCAUAUCCUUUGGUCUUACCAAUGCCCCUGCAGCUUUCAUGGACUUGAUGAACCGGGUGUUCAAGCAGUACUUAGACACAUUCGUCAUAGUCUUCAUAGAUGAUAUUCUGGUCUAUUCUCCCACAGAGCGUGAUCAUUCAGACCAUCUCAUAAUUGUUCUUCAGACUCUCAGGGAUCAUCAGCUGUUCGCCAAGUUAAGUAAGUGCGAAUUUUGGCUAAGAUCAGUAGCAUUCCUUGGCUAUAUUAUUUCUGAUGAUGACAUUAGAGUAGAUCCUCAAAAAACCAAAGCGGUAAGAAAUUGGCCUCUCCUCAUCACUCCAUCAGAUAUCAAGAUUUUCUUAGGUUUGGUUGGCUAUUACCGACAGUUUUUUGAGGGAUUUUCUUCUAUUGCAUCUCCUAUGUCCAGAUUGACUCAGAAGAAGGUCAAGUUUCAGUGGUCAGAACCUUACGAGAAGAGUUUUCAAGAGUUGAAGACUCGACUCACCUCAGCUUCAGUUUUAGCAUUUCUCAAAGUUUUCGAUGGAUUCAUAGUAUAUUGUGAUACACCCAGAGUAGGUUUAGGUUGUCUCCUCAUACGGUAUAGUCGAGUCAUAGCCUACGCCUCCAGACAGUUAAAGCCCCAUGAGAAGAAUUAUCCUACUCAUGACCUUGAGAUAGCAGCAGUAGUCUUUGCUUUAAAGAUUUGGAGGCAUUAUCUAUAUGGUGUUCAUGUAGACGUCUUCACAGAUCAUAAGAGCCUUCAGUAUUCUUUUCCUAGAAAGAUCUCAAUCUUCGUCAGAGAAGGUGGUUAGAGCUCUUGAAGGAUUAUGACAUGAGUGUCAUUUAUCUUCCUGGCAAGGCCAAUGUAGUGGCCGACACACUCAGUAGACUGUCCAUGGGUAUUGUUUCCCAUGUUGAAGAUGGUAAGAAGAAAUUAGCUCAGGAGAUUCAUCAACUUGCCAGACUAGGCGUUCGCUUAGUCGACUCUUCAGAGAGUGGUGUAUGUGUUCACAUUAGUUUAGAGUCAUUUCUAGUUUCUGAGGUAAAAGAGAAGAAAUACAUGGAUCCUAGCCUUUUCAAGCUAAAAGAGUCAGUUUAGAGUCAGGAAGUAGAGUUUUCUCCCAAGGGGGAGAUGGUGUUCUUCGUUGUCAGGGCCGUUUGUGUGUUCCCGGUGUAGAUGACUUGAGGCAUCAAAUUCUUGCAGAAACGCAUGGUACGCGAUACUCUAUUCAUCCAGGGGCCACUAAGAUGUACCAUGACUUGCGGGAGAUCUAUUGGUGGAGUGGAAUGAAGAGAGAUGUUGCAGAGUUUGUGGCUAAGUGCUCUACAUAUUAGCAGGUUACGAUAGAGCAUCAGAAACCUAGUGGUUCUAUGCAGGAGUUAAAUAUUCCUACUUGGAAGUGGGAAAAAGUGAACAUGGACUUUGUGAUGGGUUUUCCUAGAACACGUUAUCAGCAUGAUUCAGUUUGGGUCAUUGUAGACAGAAUGACCAAGUCAGCUCAUUUUCUUCUAGUUCGUACCUCUUACUCAACCAAGGAUUAUGCCAAACUCUAUAUUAGGGAGUUGGUUAGAUUACACAGUGUUUCACUAUCUAUCAUCUCAGACAGAGGUAUCUAGUUCACCUCUCACUUCUGGAAAGCGUUCCAAAAAGGUCUUGGUACCUAAGUUCAUCUCAAUACAGCGUUUCAUUCUCAGAUAGAUAGUCAAGCAGAAAGGACCAUUCAGACUCUAGAAGAUAUGCUAAGGGCGUGUGCAAUUGAUUUCAAGGGAAGCUGGGAUGACCACUUGCCUUUGAUUAAGUUUGCAUACUACAACAGCUAUCACUCCAGUAUUCAGAUGGCUCCAUUCGAAGCUCUCUAUGGUAGGAUAUGUAGGUCUCCAAUCGGUUGGUUUGAAGUUAGUGAGACCGCAGUCAUAGGGCCUGACUUAGUAUUCGAUGCCUUAGAGAAAGUUCAGUUGAUCAGAGAAAGACUCCGGGCUACUCAGAGCCGACAGAAGUCUUAUGCGGAUGUUUAUAGAAAGGAUCUCAAAUUUGAGGUCGAUGACUAUGUCUAUCUCAAGAUCUCUCCAAUGAAGGGAGUGAAGAGAUUCGACAAGAAGGGAAAGCUCAAUCCUCAAUAUGUCGGUCCCUUCAGGAUUCUCAGUCGCUUUGGCAAAGUAACCUAUGAGCUCGAAUUGCCUUCAGAUCUAGCCUCAGUUCAUCCAGUCUUCCAUGUCUCUUUGCUCAAGAAGUGCAUAGGUAACCCAACAGUUGUAGUCCCUAUUCAGAGUGUUAACAUUCAGAAUAGCCUCUCUUAUGAAGAGAUUCCAAUCGAAAUCCUUGACUAUCAGAGUGUAGGCUGAGGAACAAAAAGUCCCUCUAGUCAAGGUUCUUUGGCGGAAUCAGUCCAUGGAGGGAGCUACUUGGAAAGCAGAAGCAGACAUGCGAACCAAGUACCCUCAUCUUUUCUCCGCUAAUUCAGGCUUAGCUCGAGGUAACCAUUUUCCUUAAGCUUAUUUAGUUACAUGUUCAAAAUUCCAGUAUAAAAUUGGUAUUAAGUAUCAGUGCAUAGCUUAUCAUGCAUUUAUGAGUUCAACUUAUCAGUCAUGCAUCAGAUAUGCAUGUUCAGUUGGGCUAUAUUCAGUUUAGAAUUCAAUUAAGUCCUAAAAUCAUGUGCCAGUUGAGCAUGAUCAUUGUAUGCAUCAUUUUAUAUUUUCUCCCCACUCAAGCAGUCAUUUUUCGAGGACGAAUGUUUCCAAGGGGGAGAUAUUGUAAUACCCCGAAAAAUCCAAACCAAUAUUAGAGCCAUGUACCAAGAUCAUGCAUAGCACAUCAUGGUUAUUUUAUAGUUUUAUGAGUAGGUUAGAUGUAUAUUAAGGCUUCAAAUAACUCCCAGCUAUCAGACGAAUCAAAACAUUCCUCACCGAUCGAAUUCUUGAGAAAGAUAUUGCCAUAGUCAGAUUAAAACGAGCAUAUAUCUUAUUAU